AAAAAGUUUAAUAAUUGGAAAAAAAAUUAAAAUGGGAAAAAAAUUAUUUUAAAAAAUUUACAUAAAACAAAUAUUCCAAGAGGUAAGCAUCUCAGCAUGAAGCUCAGAGAGACUCCACAGGCCUCGUUAGCUGCUUAACGGUCAGGACACUGAUCCAGCAUGGAGGAAGGAAACAAGAUGGCUGCCGGAUUGAGGUUAGCAGCGACGAGACUUCUGGGACAAGGUCCUCGGGCCAGAUGAGGCCAGAGAGGAGACAAUGGACCAAAAUGAAGGAAACCCAAACACAGCAGACCAAACCUGAAUCAAAAAGUAGAUCAUCAGCGCUCUGAGGAACUUUCACCUUUUGGUUCAGGUGAGUUGGAUCAAGAAGGCAUCUGAAGGCUGCAGAGUCAUUGAGGCCUGAUGAUGUGGAGCACAUCCAGGUGAUGUCCAUAUUUAUUUUUCUGGACAAAGAAAAAUAAAUAUGAAGUUGCAGUAGGUCUAACCUGUUGAUGGUACAGUUGGGUUUAAGGUUCAGAGAAAAUAGUUACAGGUAUUUUCCUAACUGUUCGAUUUUAGACCAAAGGUGCAACAUUUUUCAACCUGUUCCCCUCCUGACCUGUAGGGGCGCUGCAUCACGAACCUCUGAAGGAAACAACAAAAACAUCUGGAGACACUGAGCACAACUUCCUUCUUCACAAAAUG
Long non-coding RNA from Poecilia latipinna (sailfin molly), 684 nucleotides. RefSeq lists it as uncharacterized. The record is from RefSeq and is a predicted model, not a curated record. Lineage: Eukaryota; Metazoa; Chordata; Actinopteri; Cyprinodontiformes; Poeciliidae. The transcript is spliced from 2 exons.